RNAcentral lists this transfer RNA (77 nucleotides) under Chloroflexota bacterium. Its description in RNAcentral is "Chloroflexi bacterium tRNA-Pro". It matches the Rfam family "tRNA". From Rfam's summary of the family: Transfer RNA (tRNA) molecules are approximately 80 nucleotides in length. Their secondary structure includes four short double-helical elements and three loops (D, anti-codon, and T loops). Further hydrogen bonds mediate the characteristic L-shaped molecular structure. tRNAs have two regions of fundamental functional importance: the anti-codon, which is responsible for specific mRNA codon recognition, and the 3' end, to which the tRNAs corresponding amino acid is attached (by aminoacyl-tRNA synthetases). tRNAs cope with the degeneracy of the genetic code in two manners: having more than one tRNA (with a specific anti-codon) for a particular amino acid; and 'wobble' base-pairing, i.e. permitting non-standard base-pairing at the 3rd anti-codon position. Lineage: Bacteria; Bacillati; Chloroflexota. The record is from RNAcentral.
CGGGGUGUAGCUCAGCCUGGUAGAGCGCGGCUUUUGGGAAGCUGAGGUCCCGGGUUCGAUUCCCGGCACCCCGACCG